CUCAGUAACGCGUAGUCAACCUAACCUAUGGACGAGAAUAACCUCGGGAAACUGAGAAUAAUGCUCGAUAGAACACUAUACCUGGAAUGGUUUGUGUUCCAAAGGAUUUAUCGCCGUAGGAUGGGACUGCGGCCUAUCAGUUUGUUGGUGAGGUAAUGGCCCACCAAGACUAUUACAGGUACGGGCUCUGAGAGGAGUAGCCCGGAGAUGGGUACUGAGACACGGACCCAGGCCCUAUGGGGCGCAGCAGGCGAGAAAACUUUGCAAUGUGCGAAAGCACGACAAGGUUAAUCCGAGUGAUUUGUGCUAAACGAAUCUUUUGUUAGUCAUAGAACCACUAACGAAUAAGGGGUGGGCAAGUUCUGGUGUCAGCCGCCGCGGUAAAACCAGCACCUCAAGUGGUCAGGAUGAUUAUUGGGCCUAAAGCAUCCGUAGCCGGCUCUGUAAGUUUUCGGUUAAAUCUGUACGCUCAACGUACAGGCUGCCGGGAAUACUGCAGAGCUAGGGAGUGGGAGAGGUAGACGGUACUCGGUAGGAAGUGGUAAAAUGCUUUGAUCUAUCGAUGACCACCUGUGGCGAAGGCGGUCUACCAGAACACGUCCGACGGUGAGGGAUGAAAGCUGGGGGAGCAAACCGGAUUAGAUACCCGGGUAGUCCCAGCUGUAAACUAUGCAAACUCAGUGAUGCAUUGGCCUGUGGCCAAUGCAGUGCUGCAGGGAAGCCGUUAAGUUUGCCGCCUGGGAAGUACGUACGCCAAGUAUGAAACUUUAAAGGAUUUU
Molecule: ribosomal RNA, 779 nt
Filed under: uncultured crenarchaeote
Lineage: Archaea; Thermoproteati; Thermoproteota
Description: bacterial SSU rRNA
Rfam family: Archaeal small subunit ribosomal RNA
Source: RNAcentral